UACGUAGGGUCCGAGCGUUGUCCGGAAUUACUGGGCGUAAAGAGCUCGUAGGUGGUUUGUCGCGUUGUUCGUGAAAACUCACAGCUCAACUGUGGGCGUGCGGGCGAUACGGGCAGACUAGAGUACUGCAGGGGAGACUGGAAUUCCUGGUGUAGCGGUGGAAUGCGCAGAUAUCAGGAGGAACACCGGUGGCGAAGGCGGGUCUCUGGGCCGAUACUGACGCUGAGGAGCGAAAGCGUGGGGAGCAAACAGG
This 253-nucleotide ribosomal RNA is filed under the name uncultured bacterium. RNAcentral describes it as "partial 16S ribosomal RNA". It matches the Rfam family "Bacterial small subunit ribosomal RNA", at positions 524 to 776 of the family's 1533-position model. The record is from RNAcentral.